CCUACGGGAGACAGCAGUGAGGAAUAUUGGUCAAUGGGAGGAAUCCUGAACCAGCCAUGCCGCGUGCAGGACGACGGCUCUACGAGUUGUAAACUGCUUUUGUACCGGGGUAAAAUGCCUUACGUGUAGGGUUUUGAAAGUACGGUACGAAUAAGGAUCGGCUAACUCCGUGCCAGCAGCCGCGGUAAUACGGAGGAUGCGAGCGUUAUCCGGAUUUAUUGGGUUUAAAGGGUGCGUAGGCGGUCCGGAAAGUCAGCGGUAAAAGCCCGGGGCUCAACCCCGGCGAGCCGUUGAAACUGUCGGACUAGAGACGGCGAGAAGUACGCGGAAUGCGCGGUGUAGCGGUGAAAUGCAUAGAUAUCGCGCAGAACUCCGAUUGCGAAGGCAGCGUACCGGCGCCGGACUGACGCUGAGGCACGAAAGCGUGGGUAUCGAACAGGAUUAGAUACCCGAGUAGUC
This 459-nucleotide ribosomal RNA is filed under the name uncultured bacterium. Its description in RNAcentral is "partial 16S ribosomal RNA". It matches the Rfam family "Bacterial small subunit ribosomal RNA", at positions 338 to 795 of the family's 1533-position model. The record is from RNAcentral.